AAUUUAAAUAAUUAAUAAUUUUAUUUUUAUUAUUUAUUUUUAUAAAAAUAAUUUAAAAUUUUUAUGUUUUAGUAUUAAGUUAAAAUAAAUGUUUAAUUUUAUAGUUGAUUAGUAUUGUAAAAGAAAUUAUUUAAAUUUUUAAAAGAAUUUUAUGAGUACCUUUUGUAUCAGGGUUAAUUAAAAUUAUUAAUUUAUUUUAAUUUCUCAAAAUUUAUAGAGUUAAUUUUAUUCUUAAUUUAUUGUAUUAAAAAUAUUUAAAAAAUAAUUUUUGUUUUGAAAUUUAAUUCGUUAUAUUAUAUUUAGUUAUUUAAGAUUUAAAUUUAAUUUAAAAUUUUAAAAGUUAUAUUAAUUUUUUAUAUUAAUAUUUUAAAUUUAAAUUAUUUUAAGGAUAAGCUUGAAAUUUUUAUAUAUUAAUAUUUUAAUAAUAAAUAUUAAAUAGGAAUAGAAAUUUUUAUUUAAAAAGUUUGUAAAAAUUUAUUAUUUAAAUUUAUUUUAUUUAUUAUAAAUUAAUUAUUUUUAUUAUUAAAUUAUAUAAAUAAAUUAAUGAUUUAUAGAAAUAAUGAUUAAAUUAGUAUAAUUUAUAUUUAUAAUUUAUGAAUUCGGCAAAAAUUAUUUUCAUCUGUUUAACAAAAACAUUGUAUUAAGUUUUAUUUAAUAUAGAAUCUGCUCAAUGAUUAAAUUAAAUAGCUGCAGUAUUUUGACUGUGCAAAGGUAGCAUAAUAAUUAGUCUUUUAAUUGAAGACUAGAAUGAAAGAUUUGAUGAAAAAUAAACUUUAUUAAUUAUAAAAUUAAAAUUUUAUUAUUAAGUUAAAAAGCUUAAAUUAUUUAAAGGGACGAUAAGACCCUAUAAAACUUUAUAAUUAAUAAUUUUUAUUUUAAUUUAAAAUAAUUUAAGUAAAUAUUUAAAAAUUAAUUAAUUAUUUUGUUGGGGUGAUAAAAAAAAAUAAUAAACUUUUUUUAAAUAGAAACAUUAAUUAAUGAAAAUUUGAAUUAAAAUUUUUAAUUAAAGGAAAAAGUUACUUUAGGGAUAACAGCGUAAUUAAUUUUUUAAGUUCAAAUUUUAAAAUUAGUUUGCGACCUCGAUGUUGAAUUAAGAUAAAUCUUAGGUGCAAAAUUUUAAGUUUUAGGUCUGUUCGACCUUUAAAGUCUUACAUGAUUUGAGUUCAAACCGGUGUAAGCCAGGUUGGUUUCUAUCUUUUAAUAUAAAUAAUUUAUUUUAGUACGAAAGGAUUAAGUAAAUAAAUUAAAAUUUUAUAAUUAUUGAAUAAAAUUAAUUUA
Molecule: ribosomal RNA, 1278 nt
Filed under: Stomaphis sinisalicis
Lineage: Eukaryota; Metazoa; Arthropoda; Insecta; Hemiptera; Aphididae
Description: 16S ribosomal RNA
Source: RNAcentral